Molecule: non-coding RNA, 226 nt
Filed under: Agarivorans albus
Lineage: Bacteria; Pseudomonadati; Pseudomonadota; Gammaproteobacteria; Alteromonadales; Alteromonadaceae
Also listed under: 1 other name
Source: RNAcentral
UAUAAUCUCGCCCGCUGUGGUGCUUGCGUAGUAAAUACUCAAGCUUAAUAGGGAAUCUGGUGCAAAUCCGGAACUGACGCGCAGCGGUAAUGAGGAACGAAAGCUCAAGGAUUGGCCUUUUCCAAGGAUCUCCAGACACUGUUUGUAUCGCCAAACGGGAAGUCGCAGCCGUAGUACAAGUAAUACGCCUCUAAGUCCGAAUACCUGCCACAUCGCACAUGCUUAU